RNAcentral lists this ribosomal RNA (476 nucleotides) under uncultured bacterium. RNAcentral describes it as "bacterial SSU rRNA". It matches the Rfam family "Bacterial small subunit ribosomal RNA", at positions 33 to 507 of the family's 1533-position model. The record is from RNAcentral.
CGGACGACGCUGGCGGCGUGCCUAACACAUGCAAGUCGAGCGGGGUUGAAGCGAGGGGUAACUCGGACUUCUACCUAGCGGCGGACGGGUGAGUAACGCGUGGGCAACCUGCCUCAAGGUUUGGGAUAACAGCUCGAAAGGGCUGCUAAUACCGGAUAUGCCUGUGGCCUCGCAUGGGGCUAUGAGCAAAGGGGAAACCCGCCUUGAGAUGGGCCCGCGUCCCAUCAGCUAGUUGGUGAGGUGAAGGCUCACCAAGGCGACGACGGGUAGCCGGCCUGAGAGGGUGACCGGCCACACUGGGACUGAGACACGGCCCAGACUCCUACGGGGGGCAGCAGUGGGGGAUCUUGCACAAUGGGCGAAAGCCUGAUGCAGCGACGCCGCGUGAGCGAAGAAGGCCUUCGGGUUGUAAAGCUCUGUCUGGAGGGACGAAGAAAAUGACGGUACCUCCGGAGGAAGCCACGGCUAACUACGUG